Cucumis sativus (cucumber) is the source of this 1702-nucleotide RNA transcript. It is a transcript of the gene named ABSCISIC ACID-INSENSITIVE 5-like protein 4, with no coding region annotated. NCBI's taxonomy places the organism in Eukaryota, Viridiplantae, Streptophyta, Magnoliopsida, Cucurbitales, Cucurbitaceae. The record is from RefSeq and is a predicted model, not a curated record. The transcript is spliced from 4 exons.
AACUCAAAUCUAUAUGUAUUUAUAUGUAAUGUCUUCCCUUCCCUUCCCUUCCCUUGCCUUGCCUUCUUCAUCGUCAUCGUCAUCGUCAUCGUUAUCAUCUCUCCUUCUUCAACUUUCAAUUCAAACACACGAUCAAUUUUCGUCUCUUUCAUUUCAAACUCUACCAAAAUUCACAAUCCCAAAUCACUAUUUCUUCACUUCUAAUUUCUUUAUUUUGUUUAAUCCUUCUUCUUCUUCUUCUUCAACCUUCCACAGUUUUCACCUCUAAUUUUGACUUCCUUACCCUACAAUUUCGCCCAUGGCUUCCUCCAAUGUCGAGAUCGCGUCCACCUCCAAAACCAAUCCUGAUCUCCCGCCUCAAUCCUCUCUUUCUUCUAUUUCCACAAUUAUCGCUGAUCCCUCCAGGAGUUUGGUUUCCAUUACUAUGGAUGACCUGCUUAAGAACAUCUAUGCCGAUGCUCAAACUCACAAUCAAAAUCCCAUUAUUGCCUCCUCCUCCUCCUCCAUCCCCUCUCAUGAAUUGAGUUCCCGAACUGUGGAUGAGGUCUGGAAGGAGAUCGUUUCUGGGGGUGAUCAGAGGCGGGACCCUGCUACGGAUCACGAAAUUACGCUUGAAGAUUUUUUGUCCAAGUCUGGGGCUGUUUGUGAUGACGAUUUGAGGGUGCCGGUCAUUUCUGAACCUGUUGGGGGUUAUGCUGUCGACUCCACGCUUAAUAAUAAUCAGCUUCAGAUUCCGUCCCAGCAGUUGGAAGGUCCCAUGGUGGGAGGUUAUGCGAGUGGAAUCGAUGGCAGAAUCGUUGGAGUUGGAAGAGGGAAAAGAAGGGCUGUUGUUGAGGAACCGGUUGAUAAGGCCACUCAGCAAAAACAGAGACGGAUGAUCAAGAACAGGGAAUCCGCUGCCCGUUCUCGGGAACGCAAGCAGGCUUAUACGCUAGAGCUAGAGUCUCUUGUGACCCAACUGGAGCAGGAACAUGCAAGGCUAUUGAGAGAAGAGGAUUUCUGUAUGUGUCGAGUCUAAAUCAUCAUCCAUUCAGAAGUUCUGAGGAAUCAAAUUCUAAAUGCAGGCUGAGCACAUCAAGGAACGGUCUAAGCAGCUGAAGAAGAAACUCAUUCCAAUUAGUGAGAAGCGAAGACCACAACGCAAUCUUAGAAGAGUGAAUUCUUUAUAGCGGUGGUAGUGUGUAGCUCUGGAAAGGAGAGAGGGUGUUGGAAUGAGCGUUUUAUUUUACAGUUGUUAAUAAUACGAAACUGGGUUACCUCUUACGUGCCUGUGUUCAUGAAGGUAUAUAACCAAGUUAUUCAUAUCAUAGAGAGAUACUUGGGGAAUAAAAACACAACUGGCCACCAAGUAAAUAGUUGACGACAUUCCAAGUAUGGACUUGUCAUUUACAGCUAUAGAAACUGUUGAAUCUCAACAUCGGAAAUAGGUAGUACGAUGCUGCUGAAGAUUUGAACCUCACUGAAUUGCACUCCACCUGUGGCUCUGCUAAUUGUGUAUGUAUUGCGUCUGUUUUAUCAUGUGUUGAAGAAAAGGUACAAAGGAUAAUAAGUAGGGAGAAGAAGUUAUCUCAUUGUAUAUGACUUUUGGUUCUACUUUACUGGUGAUAAGAAGGAAUGGGGUUGUGGUGAUUAAUCUGAAUUUAUUUUACUAAUAUAAAUUUGUUUGUUUGUAUGUUACUGCAUCCAAGAGCUUUUCUCCUUU